This is an RNA transcript of Maniola jurtina (meadow brown), 2190 nucleotides long. It is a transcript of the gene named annexin B10, with no coding region annotated. NCBI's taxonomy places the organism in Eukaryota, Metazoa, Arthropoda, Insecta, Lepidoptera, Nymphalidae. The transcript is spliced from 9 exons. The record is from RefSeq and is a predicted model, not a curated record.
GUGGUCUGUGGUGGGAAAGUUGUUUGUGGAAUUGUGGAUUUCCCGUAUUUUAAUUUUUAUUACGAUUUACGACAACUUCGAGAUUCCGCUAUAUAUUUUGAAGGCACCGCGAUAGUAUAUUCAAGUUUUUACUUUACACAGUGAUCAGUGAUUAAGUUUUCCCGUAAAAAUGUCUCCUCACCGUGACCCUACAGUAGUGGGAGUGCCAAACUUCAAUGCUGCGGAGGAUGCCGCAGCCCUGCGAGCUGCCAUGAAGGGGCUCGGAACAGACGAGGAGGCCAUCAUAGCUAUCCUCACCACUCGCUCCAAUGCCCAGCGUCAAGCCAUCGCACAGGCAUUCACUCAUGAGUAUGGCAGGGACAUAAUUGAGGACCUGAAGUCUGAGCUGGGCGGUCAUUUCGAGGAUGUGAUCAUCGCCCUGAUGAUGCCACCUGCUGAGUACCUCUGCCGCGAGCUGCACCACUGCAUGGACGGAAUGGGCACAGAUGAAACAGUGCUGGUGGAAAUACUGUGCACGCGUACCAAGCCAGAGAUCGCCGAGAUUGUGGACGCGUAUGAGCGACUGUACAAUCGUCCACUGGCAGAACAUAUGUGCUCUGAGACAUCGGGUGACUUCCGACGUCUGCUCACCCUCAUCGUUACAUCUGUCCGUAAGGGCGCUCGCGAUGAAGAGGCCGGUGUGGACCCCGCACGCGCGGCCGAAGCCGCCCAGCAGCUCUACGACGCUGGAGAGGCCAAGUGGGGCACCGAUGAGGAGAUAUUCAAUAAGAUCCUAGCCCACGAGAGCUUCGCGCAGCUACGUCUGAUCUUUGAAGAGUACAAGAAUAUUGCCGGCCGCACCAUUGAGCAGGCAAUCAAAGCGGAGAUAGGCGGCGAGCUGAAGGACGCGCUCUCUGCUAUCGUGGAGUGUGUGGAGAAUUCCGCCGCGUGGUUCGCUACGCGUCUUCGCGCCGCCAUGCAAGGGUUGGGCACGGACGACCGCACUCUCAUACGCAUCGUCGUCUCGCGCUCUGAGAUAGACCUGGGAGCUAUCAAGCUAGAAUACGAACGGCUAUACGACAAGACGCUCGAGAGCGAAGUCCGGUGGAGUGCGUGGAGAACGCCGCAGCCUGGUUCGCUCAGCGCCUGCGCAACGCGAUGCAGGGCGCCGGCACUGAAGAUAAGACCCUAGUGAGAAUCAUCGCGAGCCGCGCGGAAAUAGACCUCGCAGCCAUCAAGAGGGAGUAUGAGAGACUCUACGAUAAGACGCUGGAGAGCGAUAUAUCGCAGGGCGAGACUUCCGGAGACUACAAGCGCGCGCUGCUGGCGCUCCUCGGCCCGGCCUAGGCCACAGCGAAGUCCUACGAAGCCCUAGGCCUUAAGUUAUGGAAGAUGGGAAGAUUGGUGUUAUGUACGUGUAGUGUACGCAGCUUUUGUAGUGUGUAAGAUUGUAUGAAUCUGUAUUUAUAACACCUUUUUUUUAUUUAAAACUCAAGUUUCGUAUUUCAUAUUUGUAUUGUCUCUUUCCUUAUUCAUUUAAAAGAAAGUAUUUUUUAGGUAGGCAAUUUUUUUUUUCCACAAUUUAGUACAGUUUUUGAUUGUAUGAUUUUGUUUUAUAAUCCUGUCAGUUGAGCAUAAUUCUUUGUUUAAUCAAAUUGAUCUUAAGCAAUACUACCCACCUAAUGUUUAAUUUAAGAUUACAGUAUUGAAAUAAUUACUUUUGGUAUGUGCUGAAGAGAUUUUAGUAAACUUAAUUAUAAUUGAAAUAAACAUUGUUCCGCUCUUACUGUUUGUUCAAACAUGUUUAAUGUGGUAUUUGCUAACAAUAUUCAAUGAAUAAAGAAUUAAUUGUAACUUUUUUGAUUAUUUAUAUAAUAGAAAUAAGACCUCAAAUAUACUCACUUUGGUUAAAUAGAACACAAGAGCCUUGCCAGUGCCUUUUCAGAAAAAAAUAAUUUGCAUAAUAAAGAAAAUUAUAUUAAUUUUUAUGCUGGUAACAAAAUAUUAUAUUAUUGAAUGUUAAUUAUUAUAUGGAUGUGUAGGUUUAAAUAUCAAUUUAUGUUGAUUCCCAGUUGAUAUUAGGAAAACAUUCCAAACUAUUUUCUCAUUUUAGUAUUUUGCCCUCAGUUACAUCCUCUCAUAACGAUACAACUAAGCUUUAAUUUAUUCUUGUUUAGUAAUAAAUUAUUUGAAUCCUCAAAACUUGUUUCA